AUUGAACGCUGGCGGAAUGCUUUACACAUGCAAGUCGAGCGGCAGCGCGGGGCAACCUGGCGGCGAGCGGCGAACGGGUGAGUAACACAUCGGAACGUACCCUGUCGUGGGGGAUAGCCCGGCGAAAGCCGGAUUAAUACCGCAUACGACCUGAGGGUGAAAGCGGGGGAUUCUUGGGCAACCGAGGACCUCGCGCGAUAGGAGCGGCCGAUGGCGGAUUAGCUCGUUGGUGGGGUAAAGGCCUACCAAGGCGACGAUCCGUAGCGGGUCUGAGAGGACGGCCCGCCACACUGGAACUGAGACACGGUCCAGACUCCUACGGGAGGCAGCAGUGGGGAAUUUUGGACAAUGGGGGCAACCCUGAUCCAGCCAUUCCGCGUGAGUGAAGAAGGCCUUCGGGUUGUAAAGCUCUUUCGGCAUGAACGAAACGGUGGAGGCUAAUACCUUUCAUCAAUGACGGUACCUGAAGAAGAAGCACCGGCUAACUACGUGCCAGCAGCCGCGGUAAUACGUAGGGUGCGAGCGUUAAUCGGAAUUACUGGGCGUAAAGCGUGCGCAGGCGGCUCACUAAGACAGAUGUGAAAUCCCCGGGCUUAACCUGGGAACUGCGUUUGUGACUGGUGGGCUGGAGUGUGGCAGAGGGGGGUGGAAUUCCACGUGUAGCAGUGAAAUGCGUAGAGAUGUGGAGGAACACCGAUGGCGAAGGCAGCCCCCUGGGUUGACACUGACGCUCAUGCACGAAAGCGUGGGGAGCAAACAGGAUUAGAUACCCUGGUAGUCCACGCCCUAAACGAUGCCAACUAGGUGUUGGAGAAGGAGACUUCUUUAGUACCGUAGCUAACGCGUGAAGUGGC
This 854-nucleotide ribosomal RNA is filed under the name uncultured bacterium. RNAcentral describes it as "bacterial SSU rRNA". It matches the Rfam family "Bacterial small subunit ribosomal RNA", at positions 28 to 869 of the family's 1533-position model. The record is from RNAcentral.